This is a long non-coding RNA of Octopus bimaculoides (California two-spot octopus), 2241 nucleotides long. RefSeq lists it as uncharacterized. The record is from RefSeq and is a predicted model, not a curated record. NCBI's taxonomy places the organism in Eukaryota, Metazoa, Mollusca, Cephalopoda, Octopoda, Octopodidae.
GUCAGUCACAAUUUAUUAAAGUACCACAAACAACUAAAGUAAUAAAACAAAGUAUUUUAAAUCAGUUAUUAACUGACAGCAUAUGAUUUCUACAUAUUGACAACACUAUUUAUAUAUGAUGGCAUUACAUGUGACUAUUUUUCCGUGACUUUUUUUCCUGUAACUUUUAUACCUGGAUUCCAGCGACAAGGGUUCCAGUUGAUCCGAUCAACGGAACAACUUGCUCGUGAAAUUAACGUGCAAGCAUCUAAUCUCUCCAUAGACACAGCUACGCUUAACAGAGUUCUCAAGGAAAUUCAGCGUGAUACAGAAUGUGACAAGGCUGGUCCUUUGAAAUACAGGGCAACUCAUUUUUGUCAGCUGAGUGAAAUGGAACAACGAGAAAUAAAUCAUCUUGGUCAAGGACACAACGCACUGCCAGGUAUCGAACUCACAACGUUACGAUUAUGAGCCGAAUACCCUAACCACGAAGACAUGCGCCUUCAACAAGGUACAAUAACUGAGAAAAGCAAAGCUGAAAAUAAUAGCUAUACAAAUCGCAAAUAACGCCUUCAAACGAAUUGUGCCUCCUAAUCCCACAACUACAACAGAUUGAGUUUUAGAAUGAAUGAUUGCAAGAAAGUGGCCAGUUAUCCACAGCACUAUGACUAAGCCUAUCCUACGUACAACACCAAUUAAACACAAUGAGAUGGGGAGAAGAUAUUAAACAGACUGACAGACUGGUAGGCAGACAGCAGGCAGACAGCAGACAGGUUAUAUUAAUCAGCCCUUUCAAAAGUAUGGACAAGAAAAAACUUUCGUAUGAUUUUCCUUUAUGAGUACAAAGAAAGGAAGAAUGUUUCUGAAACUGCGUGAGGCAUCAACCAAGCACUUGGCCAAGGAUCAGUUCCUGUUCACACAGUUUGGCUUUAGAUGUUUCGGCAAGGAGAUAAGUUUUAAUAAUCUCGAUCAUCCAGGAAGGAAACGAUCCUUUGAUGACAACACACUAGCGGAAGCAGUGGAGGAAGAUACUCGAAGACCAGUUUGUAAGCUCGCAAUAAAAGCGUGAACAAGUAAAUCAAGUAUUUCUACUUAUUUGCAUGAAACUGGAAAAAGGAUGGACAGACGGGUUCCGCAUGAACCGACGGAGGACCAGCAAAUUCGCCGUUACGAGAUCUGUUCGACCCUGUUGUUGAGAAAUCACAAUGAUCCAUUUCUUGAAUGUAUCAUAACAUGUAAUGAAAAGUGGAUUUUUUAAGUCAAUAAGAAAAGCUCUUCGCCGAAGCAUUUCUUAAAGCCUGAAUUCCAUCAAAAACUGUGCAUGUGACAGUACAGUAGACUACCUCGGGAUUUAUCCACUACAACUUCCUGAAUUUAGGAGAAACAAUCACAGCUGAGAAAUCUUGUCGGCAGUUAAAUGAAAUGCAUAAUAAGUUGCGCGAAAUGCAACCAGCAUUAGUCAAUCGUAAAAGCCCAAUUCUUUAUGGUAACGCCAGUCUACAUGUGUUAAGAGUGACGUUUAGAAAGUUUAACGAUUUGGAAAUCUAAGUUUUGCCUCAUCCACCUUAUUUUCCUGACCUGUCUACAACAGGCUUACUUGUUUUCAAACACCUUGACAAUUUCAUAGUAAAUAAACUUCCAAAACCAGGCGGCUACAGAUGAAGUUUUUAGGUAGCUUGUUGAAUCUAGAAAUGCUGAUUUCCACUGUAAGAGCAUAAAUGACCUUGUUACUCGUUGGCAAAAAUAUAUUCAAUCACUUGGAAAUUACUUCCAUAAAAUUUGCUGUCUAUCAACUGUUAUAUUUUCAUUUUAAGGUUUGGGCCUUCAAAACAUCAUUACUUUCUGCGCAACCUAAUAAAAGCGUCAAUAGAUCGAUACGGUACCAAUAAUAAUGUAGGUGCAGUAUAGCAGAAUGAUAUAAAAUCCGCUUUACAAUUAUGGAGUCCAUGGUUCGAUUCUACUACGUGGCAUAUGGGCAAAUGUCAUUUACUUUAGCCCCAGGACAGCCCAUACAUGAAUGAAGUUGGCUUGGCAGAAACAGUAUAGAAGUCUGUCGGGUGGAUUGUACUUGUCAUUCAAAGAUUCAGACCUAUAAAACCGUGUCACACUGCUUCCGUCUGAGAAUUGCAUUAAGCUAACUCAUACCUUGAAUACUCAACCACAUGCACGCUACUUCUGACCGAGAUCUGUUAAAAAUAUAUUUGCAGCCAAGGGUGGUGGGAUACACGCGCGCGCACACACACACGUGCUCAACACCGCAUU